This 486-nucleotide ribosomal RNA is filed under the name uncultured Microbacterium sp. Its description in RNAcentral is "bacterial SSU rRNA". It matches the Rfam family "Bacterial small subunit ribosomal RNA", at positions 9 to 507 of the family's 1533-position model. Lineage: Bacteria; Bacillati; Actinomycetota; Actinomycetes; Micrococcales; Microbacteriaceae. The record is from RNAcentral.
GAGUUUGAUCCUGGCUCAGGAUGAACGCUGGCGGCGUGCUUAACACAUGCAAGUCGAACGGUGAAGCCAAGCUUGCUUGGUGGAUCAGUGGCGAACGGGUGAGUAACACGUGAGCAACCUGCCCUGGACUCUGGGAUAAGCGCUGGAAACGGCGUCUAAUACUGGAUAUGAGACGUGAUCGCAUGGUCGUGUUUGGAAAGAGUUUUUCGGUCUGGGAUGGGCUCGCGGCCUAUCAGCUUGUUGGUGAGGUAAUGGCUCACCAAGGCGUCGACGGGUAGCCGGCCUGAGAGGGUGACCGGCCACACUGGGACUGAGACACGGCCCAGACUCCUACGGGAGGCAGCAGUGGGGAAUAUUGCACAAUGGGCGGAAGCCUGAUGCAGCAACGCCGCGUGAGGGAUGACGGCCUUCGGGUUGUAAACCUCUUUUAGCAGGGAAGAAGCGUAAGUGACGGUACCUGCAGAAAAAGCGCCGGCUAACUACGUG